Molecule: ribosomal RNA, 497 nt
Filed under: uncultured bacterium
Lineage: Bacteria
Description: partial 16S ribosomal RNA
Rfam family: Bacterial small subunit ribosomal RNA
Source: RNAcentral
GAUGAACGCUGGCGGCGUGCCUAAUACAUGCAAGUCGAGCGAACGGACGAGAAGCUUGCUUCUCUGAUGUUAGCGGCGGACGGGUGAGUAACACGUGGAUAACCUACCUAUAAGACUGGGAUAACUUCGGGACACCGUAGCUAAUACCGUAUAAUAUUUUGAACCGCAUGGUUCAAAAGUGAAAGACGGUCUUGCUGUCACUUAUAGAUGGAUCCGCGCUGCAUUAGCUAGUUGGUAAGGUAACGGCUUACCAAGGCAACGAUGCAUAGCCGAACUGAGAGGGGGAUCGGCCACACUGGAACUGAGACACGGUCCUGACGCCUAAGGGAGGCAGCAGUAGGGAAUGGUCCGCAGUGGGCGAAAGCAUGACGGAGCAACGCCGCGUGAGUGAUGAAGGUCCUGGGAUCGUAAUACUCUGUUAUUAGGGAAGAACAUAUGUGUAAGUAACUGUGCACAGAUUGACGGUACUUAAUCAGAAAGCCACGGCUAACUACGUG